AGUGAACGCUGGCGGUAGGCCUAACACAUGCAAGUCGAACGGCAGCACAGUAAGAGCUUGCUCUUACGGGUGGCGAGUGGCGGACGGGUGAGGAAUACAUCGGAAUCUACUUUUUCGUGGGGGAUAACGUAGGUAAACUUACGCUAAUACCGCAUACGACCUACGGUUGAAAGCAGGGGAUCUUCGGACCUUGCGCGAUUGAAUGAGCCGGUGUCGGAUUAGCUAGUUGGCGGGGUAAAGGCCCACCAAGGCGACGAUCCGUAGCUGGUCUGAGAGGAGGAGCAGCCACGCUGGGGCUGAGACACGGUCCAGACUCCUACGGGAGCCAGCAGUGGGGAAUGUUGGACAAUGGGCGCAAGCCUCAUCCAGCCAUGCCGCGUGAGUGAAGAAGGCCUUCGGGUUGUAAAGCCCUUUUGGUGGGAAAGAAAAGCAGCAGGUUAAUACCCCGCUGUUCUGACGGUACCCAAAGAAUAAGCACCGGCUAACUGCG
RNAcentral lists this ribosomal RNA (490 nucleotides) under uncultured bacterium. RNAcentral's name for it is "partial 16S ribosomal RNA". It matches the Rfam family "Bacterial small subunit ribosomal RNA", at positions 29 to 505 of the family's 1533-position model. The record is from RNAcentral.